CACGGGGGUUGCGAGCGUUGUCCGGAAUUACUAGGCGUAAAGGGAAGGCAGGCGGAUCCAUAAGUUUAUCGUUUAAGGCGUCGGCUUAACCGGCGUAGGGCGGUAGAUACUGUGGAUCUGGAAUGCGGUUGGGGAAGACAGAAUUCCUGGUGUAGCGGUGGAAUGCGCAGAGAUCAGGAGGAAUACCGAAGGCGAAGGCAGUCCUCCAAGCCGUUAUUGACGCUCAACUGCGAAGGUGUGGGUAUCAAACAGGAUUAGAUACCCGUGUAGUUCCUGAGCGGG
Molecule: ribosomal RNA, 282 nt
Filed under: uncultured prokaryote
Description: partial 16S ribosomal RNA
Rfam family: Bacterial small subunit ribosomal RNA
Source: RNAcentral